Molecule: long non-coding RNA, 884 nt
Organism: Passer domesticus (house sparrow)
Lineage: Eukaryota; Metazoa; Chordata; Aves; Passeriformes; Passeridae
Exons: 3
Source: RefSeq, a predicted model, not a curated record
AUGAUGAAUAACAGAUCAUUAGACUUCAGGGAGAAUUCUUCACUAUUCUGUUGCUGCUUUUUACAUUUGUCAGAUAGAGACAACACAUUUCACCACCGUCCAUGACACCAAGAUAAAAGUUGUGCAACUUCCAAAGACCCUGUGUGCUAAAAGACAACAGUUACUGCCUUUGAAGUAGGCUGCACUUCAAAACCUGAGUGUACAGCGUCUUCUCCUUCGGCAGAGGCUCCCUGGCAUGGCAGGGGCUAGUUUGUGAAUGAAGCCUUUCAGAACUGGCUGAGAACAUAGUGCAGCACAAAAGGCACGAUGGGUCAUGAUUUAAAGUUGCUGCAGUUUACUCCAGAAACUCAAGGACAGUGUGACCCACUUAGUGGAUGAGAGGAAUGCUGCAGAUGUUGUCUACCUACAACUUUGGUGAAGCCUUGACACUUUACAGUAUUCUUCUGGAGGAACUGGUUGUUCAUGGCUUGGAUGAAGAAUGCUUCAGUGAGCAAAAAAGUCACCUGGAUAGCCAGGCCAGAGUGGUGAUGAACGGAUUUAAAUCCAGUUGAUGGCCAGUCACAAGCGGUGAUCCCUAGGGCUCCAUAUUGGAGCCGGUGCUGUUUAAUAACCAUCAGUGAGUUCACAGAAAGCACCAAGCUGGGUGGGAGUGCUGGUGUGCUGGAGGGCAGGAAGGCUCUGCAGAGGGAUCUGAACAGGCUGGAUUGAUGGUCUGAGACCAAUUGUAUGAGGUUGAAAAGGCAAAAUGUUGGGUCCUGCACUUGGGUCUCAACAACCCCAUGCAGAACUGCAGGCUGGGGGAAGAGUGGCUGGAAAAUUGUCUGAAGUAAAAAGCCCUGAGGAUGCUGAUCGACAUCCAGCUGAACAUGAGCCAGCAUUGUUUU